Molecule: ribosomal RNA, 240 nt
Filed under: uncultured bacterium
Lineage: Bacteria
Description: partial 16S ribosomal RNA
Rfam family: Bacterial small subunit ribosomal RNA
Source: RNAcentral
GNUCCUGGCUCAGGAUGAACGCUAGCGACAGGCCUAACACAUGCAAGUCGAGGGGCAGCGGAGAGGUAGCAAUACCUUUGCCGGCGACCGGCGCACGGGUGAGUAACACGUAUGCAAUCCACCUGUAACAGGGGGAUAACCCGGAGAAAUCCGGACUAAUACCCCAUAAUAUGGGCGCUCCGCAUGGAGAGCCCAUUAAAGAGAGCAAUUUUGGUUACAGACGAGCAUGCGCUCCAUUAG